This 145-nucleotide microRNA precursor is filed under the name Glycine max (soybean). Its description in RNAcentral is "miR4348a stem-loop (gma-MIR4348a)". The record is from miRBase by way of RNAcentral. Lineage: Eukaryota; Viridiplantae; Streptophyta; Magnoliopsida; Fabales; Fabaceae.
AUGUGUUAAACUUGUAAGAUGGUGACAUUAUGAUGGUUAUGAAUGUAAAAAUGACCUUCUAUAUUGGAUCAAGUUACAACCAAUGUAAAAAGUGAUUUACAUCCAUAACUAUCACAAUGUCAUCAUCUUGCAAGUUUGAUACAUA